CCUGCGACGUUUGCUUUCCAGGAGUCAUCAUGAGUUUGCUUUCCUGGAGUCAUCAUGACGAUCACGCCAACCACCCGACUCGGUCAGAACUUCUGUCACCGCAGCAACAAGGGAAGUGCCCAAGAAGGAAGAAUCAAAUACCAAUUGUGACUUCCUUGGCCCGGAUUUCCCCUGCGCUGAGUGAGUUACGAGGAGUACCAGGGAAUCGAAGAAGAUAGCCAAAAAGUUGAAGGAAGCAAAGGGGUUGAGCAAGCAAGAAGAACAGGUAUGUGGAGGAUGGCGGUGGCGAACUGGCGAGAUGGAGAAAAGGGAAGGCGGCAGGGGAUUAGGAGCCAGGAUGGAAACCACCGCCGUGGUUUUCCCCAACGCACACGGACCUGGCUGGUUCCUUCGGCUUCGAUCGAAGUGAAGCCACCGCUUCCAUGUUAGAAACGAUUUCUUGCUUUUUCCUCUCUUUCUUCGAUGGAUAAACACGGCGCCAUAUGAGCAAAGUUUAAUAAUUAGAUUGGCACAUAGUAAAGUUAAAGAAAGAAAUAGAGAUAUAAUAAUAAAUAGACGUAGUAACCAUGGUGGCAUCUGCUUUGUGAAUUUGUGAGUGCCCUAAGUAUUUUUUUGUAUUUUUUUAUCAUAUUAUCCUAUUACCUAGAAUCAACACACAACAGCAGGAACAUACCUUAAGACACGAUUUCUUUGCAUUUUUUUUAGGAAUUAGAAUCUAACUAAUGAAGUAGACUAAUUUUUAGAACGUGGCAUUCUAUAACUUUUCAAAGUUUAUAUAUAAGUCUAUCUUAAAUUCAUGGGGUAAGAAAUGUAAGAAAUGGAAAUUGAUUAUAUAGAUUUAUAUGCUACUUUUCUAAUA
Molecule: long non-coding RNA, 859 nt
Organism: Zea mays
Lineage: Eukaryota; Viridiplantae; Streptophyta; Magnoliopsida; Poales; Poaceae
Exons: 2
Source: RefSeq, a predicted model, not a curated record